GGGGAUAUAGUUCAGUGGUAUAACCCCUGCUUUUCAUGUAUGUGGUUCUGGGUUCAAUCUCCAAAAGAGACCUCA
Pangasius djambal is the source of this 75-nucleotide non-coding RNA. Lineage: Eukaryota; Metazoa; Chordata; Actinopteri; Siluriformes; Pangasiidae. The record is from the annotation of a GenBank genome assembly.